GUCUACAGCCAUGCCACCCUGAACAAGCCCGAUCCUGUCUGAUCUCGGAAGCUAAGCAGGGUCGGGCCUGGUUAGUACUUGGAUGGGAGACCACCUAGGAAGACCAGGUGCUGUAGGCA
Molecule: ribosomal RNA, 119 nt
Filed under: Pteropus alecto (black flying fox)
Lineage: Eukaryota; Metazoa; Chordata; Mammalia; Chiroptera; Pteropodidae
Source: RNAcentral